Molecule: small nuclear RNA, 102 nt
Organism: Vombatus ursinus (common wombat)
Lineage: Eukaryota; Metazoa; Chordata; Mammalia; Diprotodontia; Vombatidae
Source: Ensembl
GUGCUCCCUUCAGCAGCAUAUAUAUUAAAAUUGGAACAUACAGAGAUAAGCAUGGCUCCUGCACAAGGAUGACAGUAAAUUCUUGAAGCAUUCAAUAUUUUC